UAGGGAAUCUUCGGCAAUGGGGGGAACCCUGACCGAGCAACGCCGCGUGAGUGAAGAAGGUUUUCGGAUCGUAAAGCUCUGUUGUUAAGGAAGAACGAGUGUGAGAAUGGAAAGUUCAUACUGUGACGGUACUUAACCAGAAAGGGACGGCUAACUACGUGCCAGCAGCCGCGGUAAUACGUAGGUCCCGAGCGUUGUCCGGAUUUAUUGGGCGUAAAGCGAGCGCAGGCGGUUAGAUAAGUCUGAAGUUAAAGGCAGUGGCUCAACCAUUGUAGGCUUUGGAAACUGUUUAACUUGAGUGCAGAAGGGGGGAGUGGAAUUCCAUGUGUAGCGGUGAAAUGCGUCGAUAUAUGGAGGAACACCGGUGGCGAAAGCGGCUCUCUGGUCUGUAACUGACGCGGAGGCUCGAAAGCGUGGGGAGCGAACAGG
Molecule: ribosomal RNA, 429 nt
Filed under: Bacteroidota bacterium
Lineage: Bacteria; Pseudomonadati; Bacteroidota
Description: Bacteroidetes bacterium partial 16S ribosomal RNA
Rfam family: Bacterial small subunit ribosomal RNA
Source: RNAcentral